RNAcentral lists this small RNA (217 nucleotides) under Yersinia ruckeri. RNAcentral's name for it is "GlmZ RNA activator of glmS mRNA". It matches the Rfam family "GlmZ RNA activator of glmS mRNA". From Rfam's summary of the family: This RNA was discovered in E. coli during a large scale screen. The sraJ gene was expressed in early logarithmic phase, but its level decreased with cell growth. Lineage: Bacteria; Pseudomonadati; Pseudomonadota; Gammaproteobacteria; Enterobacterales; Yersiniaceae. The record is from Rfam by way of RNAcentral.
GUAGAUGCUCAUCCCACUUCUUAUGACAGCUUAGUCUUCAUAAACCCAGGGAUGAUGCAGAGCCAAUUUUAGGGUGCCUAUUGUCCAUGUAAACGAUGUUGAGCGGUAACCAAUCCUCCUUUCAUCACAUACCGGGCGUAACGUUGAGUGAGGCACCAAUCUGCUGACUGUAGACCUGAUAUUUUAUGACACUUGCUUAAUCGGCAAGUGUUUUUUU